RNAcentral lists this ribosomal RNA (301 nucleotides) under uncultured bacterium. RNAcentral's name for it is "partial 16S ribosomal RNA". It matches the Rfam family "Bacterial small subunit ribosomal RNA", at positions 509 to 809 of the family's 1533-position model. The record is from RNAcentral.
CAGCAGCCGCGGGAAUACGAAGGGGGCUAGCGUUGCUCGGAAUUACUGGGCGUAAAGGGAGCGUAGGCGGAUCGUUUAGUCAGGGGUGAAAUCCCGGGGCUCAACCUCGGAACUGCCUUUGAUACUGGCGAUCUUGAGUAUGGGAGAGGUGUGUGGAACUCCGAGUGUAGAGGUGAAAUUCGUAGAUAUUCGGAAGAACACCAGUGGCGAAGGCGACACACUGGCCCAUUACUGACGCUGAGGCUCGAAAGCGUGGGGAGCAAACAGGAUUAGAUACCCCAGUAGUCCCUGUCUCUUAUAU